RNAcentral lists this ribosomal RNA (749 nucleotides) under Cystobasidium sp. DBVPG 10075. RNAcentral describes it as "eukaryotic LSU rRNA". The stretch from base 470 to 749 matches the Rfam family "Eukaryotic large subunit ribosomal RNA", at positions 1 to 277 of the family's 3401-position model. The record is from RNAcentral. Lineage: Eukaryota; Fungi; Basidiomycota; Cystobasidiomycetes; Cystobasidiales; Cystobasidiaceae.
GACCCUUUCAUUUUCUUACACUGUGCACACACUUCUUUUUUACACACACUUUUAACACAUUAGUAUAAGAAUGUAAUAGUCUCUUAAUUGAGCAUAAACAAAAUUAAAACUUUCAGCAACGGAUCUCUUGGCUCUCGCAUCGAUGAAGAACGCAGCGAAUUGCGAUAAGUAAUGUGAAUUGCAGAAUUCAGUGAAUCAUCGAAUCUUUGAACGCACCUUGCACUCUUUGGUAUUCCGAAGAGUAUGUCUGUUUGAGUGUCAUGAAACUCUCAACCCCCUUAUUUUGUAAUGAAAUGAGUGUGGGCUUGGAUUAUGGUUGUCUGUCGGCGUAAUUGCCGGCUCAACUGAAAUACACGAGCAACCCUAUUGAAAUAGACGGUUUGACUUGGCGUAAUAAUUAUUUCGCUAAGGACGUCUUCUUCAAAUGUAAGAGGUGCUUCUAAUUCGCUAUUAAAGCAACUUAAGCUUUAGACCUCAAAUCAGUCAGGAUUACCCGCUGAACUUAAGCAUAUCAAUAAGCGGAGGAAAAGAAACUAACAAGGAUUCCCCUAGUAACGGCGAGUGAAGUGGGAAAAGCUCAACUUUGAAAUCUGGCACCUUCGGUGUCCGAGUUGUAGUCUCAAGAAGUGUUUUCUGUGCUGGUCCAUGUAUGAGUCUGUUGGAACACAGCGUCAUAGAGGGUGACAACCCCGUUCAUGACAUGGAUACCAGUGCUUUGUGAUACACUCUCGAAGAGUCGAGUUGUUUGG